RNAcentral lists this unclassified non-coding RNA (192 nucleotides) under uncultured fungus. RNAcentral describes it as "sequence contains ITS2". The record is from RNAcentral. Lineage: Eukaryota; Fungi.
AAUUAUCAACUUCUAUAGCUUUUGUUAUAGAGGCUUGGAUGUGGAGGUUGUGUUGGCUUGCAAAGGUCAACUCCUCUGAAAUGCAUUAGUGUGAACCAUACGGAACGCCUUCAGUGUGAUAAUUAUCUACGCUGUGGUGCUGAAGUAUAUUGUGUCAUGCUUAUAACCGUCCGCAAGGACAAUUACUUGACA